GAAACGAUUGCUAAUACCGAAUAAAAUGUAAGAGUCAAUUUUACAUUGAAAGGAGCCUUUAAAGCUUCGCGAUUAGAUGGGCCUGCGGCGUAUUAACUAGUUGGUGAGGUAAUGGCUUACCAAGGUGACGAUGCGUAGCCGAACUGAGAGGUUGAUCGGCCACAUUGGGACUGAGACACGGCCCAAACUCCUACGGGAGACAGCAGUUAGGAAUAUUCGUCAAUGGAGGAAACUCUGAACGAGCAAUGCCGCGUGAGUGAUGAAGGUCUUAUAGAUUGUAAAACUCUGUUGUAUGGAAAAAACGACUAGGUUAGGAAAUGAACUUAGUGUGAUGGUACCAUACCAGAAAGCCCCGGCUAACUACGUGCCAGCAGCCGCGGUAAUACGUAGGGGGCGAGCGUUAUCCGGAUUUAUUGGGCGUAAAGCGUGUGUAGGCGGUUUAUUAAGUUUAAGAUUAAAGCCCGGGGCUCAACUCCGGUAAGUCUUAAAAACUGGUAGACUUGAGUACGGUAGAGGCAAACGGAAUUUCUAGUGUAGCGGUGAAAUGCGUAGAUAUUAGAAGGAACACCAGUGGCGAAAGCGGUUUGCUGGGCCGUUACUGACGCUGAGGCACGAAAGCGUGGGGAGCAAAUAGGAUUAGAUACCCUAGUAGUCCACGCCGUAAACGAUGAGUACUAAGUGUUGGG
This 686-nucleotide ribosomal RNA is filed under the name uncultured bacterium. RNAcentral describes it as "bacterial SSU rRNA". It matches the Rfam family "Bacterial small subunit ribosomal RNA", at positions 153 to 827 of the family's 1533-position model. The record is from RNAcentral.